AGAGAGAGAGAGAGAGAGAGAGAGAGAGAGAGAGAGAGAGAGAGAGAGAGAGAAAAUACUGCAAUUGCUUAUGACCGUGCCAUCUGCCCCUCCACAUGCAACGGAGCUAACUACCCCUGGAAGACAGCCACCCCCGCCAAAAAGGCCUUAGGGGUGAGGUGGCGCACUCAACUGCCAGUCGAAUUCAUGUACUUUUGAAGAGCUCGAGUCUCCCCCCUGCGUGCGGCUGGAGCUGAGAACAGGGGAGCGAGCGAUAGAAGAGACGAGGCAGCAAGCGCAGAGUGAAGGAGAGAAAAGCUCGACUGAUGAUGAAAUAGGAGUAUCAGGAGCUCUAAAAAGAAAGAAAGAAAGAAAGAAAAAGGAAAAACGGUCAAAUCUCUGCAUGUCUCCUGUUCUGGACGUAUUUUGAUGCCUUAUGUCUUUAAUGCCAGAUGAAAAGUAUAGCAGGGGAUUGCAUGCCUAGCAGAGAAAAAGGUGGGGGAAACUACUCUUUUGCUUCUUUUACUGUGUGUAACUUUCUGUUGGUUUGUGGAUGUCAUUG
This 541-nucleotide long non-coding RNA is filed under the name Salmo salar (Atlantic salmon). RNAcentral's name for it is "lncRNA (ENSSSAG00000118467.1)". Lineage: Eukaryota; Metazoa; Chordata; Actinopteri; Salmoniformes; Salmonidae. The record is from RNAcentral.